CAUAUCAAUAAGCGGAGGAAAAGAAACCAACAGGGAUUGCCCUAGUAACGGCGAGUGAAGCGGCAACAGCUCAAAUUUGAAAUCUGGCUCUUUCAGAGUCCGAGUUGUAAUUUGCAGAGGGCGCUUUGGCGUUGGCAGCGGUCCAAGUUCUUUGGAACAGGACGUCACAGAGGGUGAGAAUCCCGUACGUGGUCGCUAGCCUUCGCCGUGUAAAGCCCCUUCGACGAGUCGAGUUGUUUGGGAAUGCAGCUCUAAAUGGGAGGUAAAUUUCUUCUAAAGCUAAAUACUGGCCAGAGACCGAUAGCGCACAAGUAGAGUGAUCGAAAGAUGAAAAGCACUUUGGAAAGAGAGUCAAAUAGCACGUGAAAUUGUUGAAAGGGAAGCGCUUGCAGCCAGACUUGCCUGUAGUUGCUUAUCUGGACUUUUGUCCAGUGCACUCUUCUGCGGGCAGGCCAGCAUCAGUUUGGGCGGUUGGAUAAAGGUCUCUGUCAUGUACCUCCUUUCGGGGAGGCCUUAUAGGGGAGACGACAUGCAACCAGCCCGGACUGAGGUCCGCGCAUCUGCUAGGAUGCUGGCGUAAUGGCUGUAAGCGGCCCGUCUUGAAACACGGACCAAGGAGUCUAACAUCUAUGCGAGUGUUUGGGUGUCAAGCCCAGACGCGUAAUGAAAGUGAACGGAGGUGGGAACCCUUUGGGUGCACCAUCGACCGAUCCUGAUGUCUUCGGAUGGAUUUGAGUAAGAGCAUGGCUGUUGGGACCCGAAAGAUGGUGAACUAUGCUUGAAUAGGGUGAAGCCAGAGGAAACUCUGGUGGAGGCUCGCAGCGGUUCUGACGUGCAAAUCGAUCGUCAAAUUUGGGCAUAGGGGCGAAAGACUAAUCGAACUAUCUAGUAGCUGG
Molecule: ribosomal RNA, 896 nt
Filed under: Phaeosphaeria chinensis
Lineage: Eukaryota; Fungi; Ascomycota; Dothideomycetes; Pleosporales; Phaeosphaeriaceae
Description: partial large subunit ribosomal RNA
Rfam family: Eukaryotic large subunit ribosomal RNA
Source: RNAcentral